GUGGGAGCCAGCCUGCUGGCGAUAACGUCCUGUCAGUCAGCGUCUUUGUGACUGUUACAUCGCUAUCGCCAGCAGGCUGGCUCCCAC
This 87-nucleotide unclassified non-coding RNA is filed under the name Pseudomonas reinekei. The record is from RNAcentral. Lineage: Bacteria; Pseudomonadati; Pseudomonadota; Gammaproteobacteria; Pseudomonadales; Pseudomonadaceae.